UGAAAUUUUUCACUUCAAAUUUUGCAGAUACUUGUAUCACAAUACAAAGAGAUGUUUACAAACUUUGGUUCCACUUUGAUUAGAUAUUGAUUUUAUUUUUCACCGAGACGUGCAAAAUCUUAAAAUUUGUAAUGUAUGGAUUGAAGGCGAGGUGAUACCUUCAAAUUUAUUUGAUUAGUUAAAUUCUCAUGAUGAAAUUUUUUUUAUGCGUUAUUUCAUUUUAGUGCCACAAACUUAGAGUACAAAAACAUAACUUCAAGGUACAUGAAAUUAGGAAGAAAAAAAUUAUUCAGUGCAUGCAUAAAAGCUAAAGGACAACAACUGGAUCAUUCCAGUAUAAUGUAUAUGGUACAACUGGAUCAUUCAUUUCAGUAGUUUCUCCCAACACCAACACAAUAGCCUUUACGACACUUACCAUUAACCCCACGAUGUUUUGGACAAUCCUUAUCGGUUAUACAAGGUUUUAGCAUCAAGGGAGCGGAAGAAGUAGAUACUAUUAUGGAAAGAAAUAGAAUCAGAGCAUAAACAAAUUUUAGAAUUUCAACCAUAUCUUUCCCUCUUUAAUUUGUAUAUAACAAACAAUAUAUGAUUUGAUAUAUUUAUAGUGUAUAAAUUU
RNAcentral lists this long non-coding RNA (616 nucleotides) under Medicago truncatula (barrel medic). RNAcentral's name for it is "long non-coding RNA (MTRU_LNC001426)". The record is from RNAcentral. Lineage: Eukaryota; Viridiplantae; Streptophyta; Magnoliopsida; Fabales; Fabaceae.